CGCGGUAAUUCCAGCUCCAAUAGCGUAUAUUAAAGUUGUUGCAGUUAAAAAGCUCGUAGUUGGAUGUCUGCUGGAAGCAAUCAGUCCGCCCUAUUUGUAGGGUGUGCACUUGAUGAAUUCUGGCAUCUAUAUCCCAAUAAUAUGAUGGUGUAUACCCUGUGUACACCCAUCUAUAUUGGGAUAAUACCGUUACUUUGAGAAAAUUAGAGUGUUUGAAGCAGGCUAAUUGCCUUGAAUACUGCAGCAUGGAAUAACAAUAUAGGAUUUCGGUUCUAUUUUGUUGGUUUCUAGGACUGAAAUAAUGAUUAAUAGGGACAGUUGGGGGCAUUCGUAUUUAACUGUCAGAGGUGAAAUUCUUAGAUUUGUUAAAGACGAACUACUGCGAAAGCAUUUGCCAAAGAUGUUUUCAUUAAUCAAGAACGAAAGUUAGGGGCUCGAAGACGAUCAGAUACCGUCGUAGUCCUAACCAUAAACUA
Molecule: ribosomal RNA, 476 nt
Filed under: Sarcocystis cruzi
Lineage: Eukaryota; Apicomplexa; Conoidasida; Eucoccidiorida; Sarcocystidae
Description: SSU rRNA
Rfam family: Eukaryotic small subunit ribosomal RNA
Source: RNAcentral